UACGGAGGAUCCAAGCGUUAUCCGGAAUCAUUGGGUUUAAAGGGUCCGUAGGCGGUUUAAUAAGUCAGUGGUGAAAUCUGGUCGCUCAACGAUCAAACGGCCAUUGAUACUGUUAGACUUGAAUUACAAGGAAGUAACUAGAAUAUGUAGUGUAGCGGUGAAAUGCUUAGAUAUUACAUGGAAUACCAAUUGCGAAGGCAGGUUACUACUUGUGGAUUGACGCUGAUGGACGAAAGCGUGGGGAGCGAACAGGAUUAGAUACCCUGGUAGUCCACGCCGUAAACGAUGGAUACUAGCUGUUGGGGGCAACUUCAGUGGCUAAGCGAAAGUGAUAAGUAUCCCACCUGGGGAGUACGUUCGCAAGAAUG
RNAcentral lists this ribosomal RNA (368 nucleotides) under uncultured prokaryote. RNAcentral's name for it is "bacterial SSU rRNA". It matches the Rfam family "Bacterial small subunit ribosomal RNA", at positions 524 to 896 of the family's 1533-position model. The record is from RNAcentral.